Molecule: long non-coding RNA, 218 nt
Filed under: Anser brachyrhynchus (Pink-footed goose)
Lineage: Eukaryota; Metazoa; Chordata; Aves; Anseriformes; Anatidae
Description: lncRNA (ENSABRG00000015860.1)
Source: RNAcentral
AUGGACAUCUUCAGCAAAAGGAUGAGUAGCAUGGCCCCGAGUUCUACUGCCGUCAGUGCAAGGAACACCGUUUCAGAAAGAACUGUAAAAACUGAAUUGUGUAGACACUCUAUUACUCUGAGGAAAAAAAAAAGUUUGCAUUUGGAGAUCAGUAUAGGAAGCCACUGUCUUUAUACAUGGCUUAGCAUCAGUGUUGCUGAAGGCAAUGGGAAACAGAA